AGUGAACGCUGGCGGUAGGCCUAACACAUGCAAGUCGAACGGCAGCACAGUAAGAGCUUGCUCUUACGGGUGGCGAGUGGCGGACGGGUGAGGAAUACAUCGGAAUCUACUUUUUCGUGGGGGAUAACGUAGGGAAACUUACGCUAAUACCGCAUACGACCUACGGGUGAAAGCAGGGGAUCUUCGGACCUUGCGCGAUUGAAUGAGCCGAUGUCGGAUUAGCUAGUUGGCGGGGUGAAGGCCCACCAAGGCGACGAUCCGUAGCUGGUCUGAGAGGAUGAUCAGCCACACUGGAACUGAGACACGGUCCAGACUCCUACGGGAGGCAGCAGUGGGGAAUAUUGGACAAUGGGCGCAAGCCUGAUCCAGCCAUACCGCGUGAGUGAAGAAGGCCUUCGGGUUGUAAAGCCCUUUUGUUGGGAAAGAAAAGCAGCAGGUUAAUACCCCGCUGUUCUGACGGUACCCAAAGAAUAAGCACCGGCUAACUUCGUG
This 492-nucleotide ribosomal RNA is filed under the name uncultured bacterium. RNAcentral's name for it is "partial 16S ribosomal RNA". It matches the Rfam family "Bacterial small subunit ribosomal RNA", at positions 29 to 507 of the family's 1533-position model. The record is from RNAcentral.